RNAcentral lists this ribosomal RNA (832 nucleotides) under Rhodobothrium sp. IDB-2012. Its description in RNAcentral is "eukaryotic LSU rRNA". It matches the Rfam family "Eukaryotic large subunit ribosomal RNA", at positions 51 to 628 of the family's 3401-position model. The record is from RNAcentral. Lineage: Eukaryota; Metazoa; Platyhelminthes; Cestoda; Rhinebothriidea; Rhinebothriidae.
CGGAGGAAAAGAAACUAACCAGGAUUCCGCCUAGUAACGGCGAGUGAAGAGGGAAUAGCCCAGCACCGAAGCCUGCGGUAGUUUUACUGUUAGGCAAUGUGGUGUUUGGGUCGGCUCGCGGGGUUGCCACUCCACUCGAAGUCCAGCAUUGAGUAUGGUCCACUGGAUUUGGCCCAGAGAGGGUGAAAGGCCCGUACGGGUGGAGGUUUCAGACAAGUAAGGCAACUCACUAGGCCGGCCUUAGAGUCGGGUUGUUUGGGAAUGCAGCCCAAAGAGGGUGGUAAACUCCAUCCAAGGCUAAAUACUAGCACGAGUCCGAUAGCAAACAAGUACCGUGAGGGAAAGUUGAAAAGUACUUUGAAGAGAGAGUAAACAGUACGUGAAGCCGCAUGCAGGUAAACGGGUGGCGUCAAGCUGCAAGCCCAGAGGAUUCAGCCGGUUAGAGUGUAGUACGCGCUUGCGUGUCAAACGGCCAGUGUAAGAUUGGGUAGUCCACUGGAAGACAGUGGGCCCUGCCGCAAGGUGUGGGUGUGUGUACCGAGUGGAAGUCGGAGCACGCUAUCCGUCUGUUGGGCCAUCUAGCCGGUGCACUUUCUCUGUGGUGAACACCACGACCGGUGGAACUGCCAGUCUGCUAUGGUCAAGUCGUGUUUGGUCGGUCCUUGUGGCCUUCUGAAUGCGAUCACGGGCAAAUUCGGUGAACGGCGUAGAUGUGCUCUCGGGUAUGUCUGCGUGUUAUCGGCUACCGGUUGUCUUAACGGGCCUGCCUUACGAUUGUCAAGCCGUCGUAGGGUGGUCUGGUGGACCUUAGUGGUAAGAAUACCUGUGCAGG